Molecule: ribosomal RNA, 315 nt
Filed under: Triticum aestivum (bread wheat)
Lineage: Eukaryota; Viridiplantae; Streptophyta; Magnoliopsida; Poales; Poaceae
Description: partial small subunit ribosomal RNA
Source: RNAcentral
AUGUCGAGGGAGGAGGGCAAGAUGUCGAGGGUGAUGGUGCCGCUGACAAUGAAAACCUACUCUCUGAGAAUCUCCUCCGCCUCCUCCAGCAGCCGUCCUCACUCCCCCGUGUCUCCCUCGUCUGCAAACGCCAGCGUCGCAUCGUAUCCAAGAUCCGCUUUUUAUGCCGCUUUCACUCACACCACCGCUGCAGCGCUCCCCUCUUCAGUUGUUUCGUCAGCGACCUGCGAGGCUGCUUCUCCUACACACAUACCAUGGAGGCCCCAGCUCGUGUCCCCGCCGGGCGCGGUCAUGGGUCCUGGAUCCACGAAGUGA